AUGCAGUUUUUCAAAAAUCUUAAAUCAUAUGUACUGAAAAAUAUAAAAAUAUAAAUUUGUAUGUAGUAAAAUUACUUUUAUUAUUACUAUUCUUAUAUGCUUAUAAUAGGAUGGUAACAACAGAUAAUGGGUUGUGUAAAAUUUCAGUCUGCAUAUGAGGUCACAAGUAAAAAAGGUUGUGCACCACUGCUGUAUGGUACUAUGUAUACAAUAAGUCCAGAGAAUACUUUAUAAAUUACUAAAAACUAAUUUUUUUAUGUUUAAUGCUAAAAUUCAUUUUCAGAGCAAAAAAAUUUAGUGUGAUAUUUUGUCAUGUUAGAUGUUUGCUUGUACAUUGCAUUACAACUGCUACAGCAAUUGCAAUGUUUCUCCUAUUUGUUCUAAUUGUCUCAUUCUCUUACCUGAUAAUUGUGAGGUUAACAGCAUUCUCUGGAUCCAUAAUUAAAUCUAAACUGCUUUCCUUGUCAAUAUAUCUAAAAUACAAACUCAGCACAAUUUGCAGUUGACAAAUAAACACAUACACUUUAAUGGCUAACGUUUUCAACAGACUUAGCUGCCAUCAUCAGGCUUACACCACUAAUACAAUCAAUACCUAAAAAGAACAAAAGAACGCAUCUGAAUUAC
RNAcentral lists this long non-coding RNA (624 nucleotides) under Androctonus crassicauda. Lineage: Eukaryota; Metazoa; Arthropoda; Arachnida; Scorpiones; Buthidae. The record is from RNAcentral.